UUUAUCCGCCUUGGGUCGACGUUGAUCGCUGGGAAGGACAGGAAGUACUGAAAGGACUGAAAGACCUUGCUGAAAGACCAUUUACGUUAAAUUUCUGACGCACCAUGCAUGACAGUAAUUUCACCGUUCAGUGUUCAACCCAAAGUAUGUCAUUCAUUCUUUGAAGUUAUUCAAGCUUGCAUUACUUAAAUUGACGAUUAGAUCAGUUUGCGUCCUGACUAUGACUAUGCCGAGUAACAUGUUGCUCCUCAGUCAAAUUGCAGGCUAUGUAAUAGCUUUAAUUUUAUCUUUAUGCAUCACUAUACCCAUGGCAUUACACCAAGAUGAAUUUAGAGGUCACUGUCUGCUCUUUUCUACUGGUAUAUGGCAAGAAAAUGAUGGUCAAUUCAAAAUAGAUUGGGCAUCUCAAGCGUAUUGCAACUUCACAAUUUUUGUCGGUGUGUUACUGUUUGUAAUCUCAGCAAUUCAAGUCUACCGAAUGGCCAGAUUCGCCCACAAAAACACUGACAGCACAUUUUUAUCAUCCUUUGCGGAUGCAGUCACCUGCAUUGUUCUCUGUACAUUUACUCUCAUUUCUGCUCUCAUGAUAACACUUGGGUUCAAGACAUGGUGUAAUGAAAUUAGCAAAAGAUUCCCUUCGUGUGAAAUAGCUGCGGGUAGUGCAUUUGAUCUUAAGGAUGGCAUUGAUACCUCCGGAUUUUAUAUUGAAUUGGGAGCUGCACAGUUUGGAGCAUGGGUGUCAUUUUCCUGUUGGGUUUUUCUGUCUGUAUGCGCUCUCCUCAAGUUGUGCCGGUUCCAUGCGAUUGAGAACAUGCGAGUAUCCAUGUUAAGAGAAAGACAACGACUCAUCAAUGAAGCACAUACAUCUCCAAAAUCACGUGAUCAUAGUUUAAACAAACAAUGGGAAAACCAAGCUCCAAGUUUGACGUGACGUGGAAUAACAGUGUAAAAUUUAUGGUAUCACCUCCCAUAACCCAGUCAGAGUAAACCCAUCUCGAAUUUGUUCCAUCGCAAGUCCAAUCUCACUAAAGAACGUUAGGGGUCGAGGUGUGACAAGUUCUCCUCCAGCACCAUACAUGACCAAAUUAGAAGACAAGUCUUUGAUUGAAUCUUCAAAUUCAGGCUCCUCUAUCUCUUCCACUGAGGGAGUCUCUGGCAAUGGUGGCUGAAAUAAAGAAGCAGUUAUUUUACAAGGUGGAUCCUGACCUGAUUAUUAAAGUUCUGCAUUUGUUGACUAGACAAGAUAAGACUAAGGAGGAAAGGGGCUACGUGAUUGGUUUGCUUUGUAAUUUAUUCUCAUAGUCGUACCCACGUUGAGUGGAUUUUAACGACAAACUAUUACAAUUCGAGAGGUGGCUUUAACUUCUUAUCAAUUCUACCCAACCCACUGUAGGAAUCAAACUGAAUAAUAUUUCUCGUCUUAAUUUUUCAAUAAUUAUUGUGUCACAGCAUAGGUUUCAGUUUUGAAUAAAUUUUACUGAAUUAGGCUAAAAUAGUCAACUUUAAGGCAUGUGAGAGACCUCUAAAAAUUCGAAUUUUGGGCCGAAAUUCUUUUGAUGUGUUUUUCUGCCAUCAAACAUAUUCACCCCAAAUGAGUCACACCCUAGCCACCUUCCAUCCAGUGACACAAAUUUAAAUAUCCCACCUAGCAAAAUUUGAAAUCUAUGUAUCAAUCCACCUUUCCAUUAAUAGUUUGAGUUUCACAAACCUGGUUUUGUAGCACAAAAUGAACUCCUAAUUCAGGGUUCUUAGAGUGGAUUUUGUGUAGCUGGGCAAGUUCAUGUGCAAUUUUAUGUAAUUUUUCACUGGGGUCUAUAUGAAACCCCAAGAUGUAACCUCCGCUGUUGAUGGAGCUUUCCACAACUAAAGCUGGACCAAAUUUUGAAUCCCUGAUUUUAAUCUGUAAUAUAGCACAUAGAUGCAAGGGAUAUAGUCAUUUUUAAAGAAGGAAGUAAGUUACAUCGAAGAACUUUUGAUGAAUGUUGAAACAUUCAAUUGGUUUUGAAAUUUCAUCCGGCAGAAAUUGAAAGUUGAAUGUUUUGAUUAAUUCCUUUAGACAUCUGCCAUUUUUUAACAUUCUUUUCAAAUUGCAUCAUGUAACAAUUUUUAGCUUACUCUACUACACAUCAAUUGCUCCAAGUGUCUCAAGAUGCAGGAAUGAUAUAAAAAGUCAAAGGGCGCUUUGAUCAGAAUCUAGCCGUAAAAUCUUGCCGAAAGAUACUGAAAUAAACUAUUUUCAAAGUCAUUCACACUUUAAAGAUAACCUCCCUUUUUCAUUCUCGGAACUGACCGUGCUAAGUUUGGUGAACCAGUCUGAUUAAAUUUCGGUGAAAGUUUGUCCAUUUAGACAAAGCAACAACAGUGGUCUAUUAUGAACAAGAACCUGAAUUAGAGUGAAAGAAAAAAACAGGAUCGCUCAAGUUGAUAGUGAUUGAAGUUCUUAAUGAUAUGACUAGACAGAUGAGAAUACUUACAGAUAUAAUUUGAAUGUGAGGCACGGAGACAUUGAAAGCCUCAUUCAUGGCAGCGAACCAUACCAGCCGUACAUUGGAAAUUAUAAAUUUUCCCAAGUUGCCCUAAAAGUAAGAGGGAAAAGAUGUUUUUUGUAAAACAAAGAAUUCACAAAUGAGUCGUGACAGCAUAUGUAUGCGCAUGCCAAAUGAAGCUUUAAGCUUGCUCGACGUUUAUUAAAUGGCCGUGAAGAAACAUGACAUCAGGAAAAACGAAGGGAAUGUGAGGCAAAAGGAAAAGAAUAUCCAUUGAGUUGGGAUGGUAGGAGAUUUCAGUGAGCAUCGUGAUUUGUGAGUUGGAAGAUAUUGCAAAAAGGAUGAUGAAAUGAAAGCAAGUGAGCAGAAGUCUAAUUUCCAGUAUGAUGGGAAAUUAUUUCUCUUGUACAGAUUCUCAAAGACAUAUCUAGAGCCCAACUUACCUGAUCACUGGACAGAUUCCAAACUCCUUCUACUGUAGCUAUAACGUGCUCCAAUGAUAUAUGCUUUUCUUUUUAUGUAUAUACCAUGCGACUGUGUGCGUGUGAAUUGAGAUGAUGAAUUGGAAUGAAAAAUGCACGUGCAAGGUGUGUCUUGCGCCCACAACCAUGCCUCAACCUCAGUUCCUCGGUGUGUAUGGUGCGAAUUUAGACUCCUCUGCUUCUCCGCUGCUACAAAUACAAUACACACGCAGAUAGAUGGGCUCUUCAGAACACAUUACCCGACUCCUCUACGUUCAAUCGGCCAGAAACGGCGUGGCAGACAGACACCUUGUUAACUCAAUCACCAUUCGAAUACUAUAUUUUGGUGGUCUAGAAGUGCUGAAAAAGUUCGAAAAUUCCCCAAGAAGGUUCGGAAGUUUUCGUCUCAUACAACGCGUGAUUUUUAAUGAGACAGCCUGGGAAGUAUGUAAUCCCUUGCACGUUGAUUCAUAGUAGAGAAUUUACCCACUAGACCGCGAUUGUGCAGCCAGUUGAUCUUCAGACCGCAAAUGAGCUUCGAAUUUCCUGGUUAUAUCAUUUCUGUUGCAAUCUGGGCGUAAAUUCUAAAAAUGUUUUAAAUUUUGGCACCCAAAAGAGCUGAAUUUUUCUGUCAAGGGGGUACCAUAUUUUUUGAAGUCAUGAAAAAGUACUGCAAAAGUAAGGAGCCAGCCGGUUUCAGUAAACACCCUGAGGAGAAGCCAGUGCUCCAAGCACAAGAGCGUUCAAAACAGUAUCUCAAAAUCUUCAUUCCCUCAUAUUAAUUUUCUGGUGAAAAUAUUAAUUGCAUCCUUGGCCAGUUGCUCUCCACCCUCAACCAUUUAGUCAAGUGAACGAUUUUCAUGAUUUUUGCUUCUGUAUUGCUGUUCAACGGUUUACGUCCAGUGCCUCAAAGGUGUUCCUUGUUGUAGAUUAAUAUAUAUAAUUUCUGAACACAUUGACAAAUCAAGUCUUGUACGUGAUUCCUAGGAUCUUAGCACUGAUCUUAGCAUAAGAUGACGACUGAUAUUCUUACAAGAAACUGCAGGAGCAUAAAAUAUACCAAAAUGUGUGGACCCGUACUAACUAUGUAAAUUCCCCUUGUCUUUUUUUGUAUGUGAAAAUGCACACCAUUAAAGGAGGAGUAUCGUUUUGGGCCUUUUCCGGCCCCACCUGGAUUUUGCUGAAUGUUUCAUAUUUUCAAAGUACUAGUCCUAGGUAGACUUUAUGCCAACUAUUCUACCGAACAGAGCCCAUGCAAGGGUGCAACAUCGCCUCAAACCCAGAAUCUUGGCACCGAAAAAUAGUUAUUUUUUUUUACUUUUUCGACUGUUAUCACCCUUCUAGCAGAUGAUUCCUAUGCAUUUUUUGCGCACUUACCGUUUCUGGCCUUUUAAAGGCCUCCGAUAAAUUUUAAUUGUUGCCAUUUUUGGCCCAUUUUUAGGGUUUCUUUCAAUUAUACACACGUAGAAAUCAAUUCAAACUAAGAACCGUGUACGUUUUUGAAAAGAACGCAAAAAAACGAAUCAAUAAUGCUCAGUAAAAUUUUUUUCUACCUUGCCAAAUUUUCGAGAAAAAUCGCUCCAAAGAGCCUAAAACGGCCAAAAUUCGAUAAAUUGCCACGCUUUAGGUUCAAGAAAGCGGGGUACAACUUUCAUAUUGACGUACGUAACAGUUCUUACCUACAUAUACAACAUAUUAAAAAAUUAUAGUUGUACCUGGAUUCCCAAGAUGUGAAAAUUGACUGGGAUGUCGAUUUCAGCGGCGUUUUUUACUUGAAGGUAGCUCUUUUGAAUGUUUUUCGACCUUAGUUACCCUCUAUGGGUGUGUACUAUAUGUAUUUUUCUGCGUACUUUUCAUAUCUGGCCAUAAAAAUGGCUUCCUGUGAAUUUUGAAAGGCCUCACGGUCCAUUGUUGCCAAUUUUCACCAAUUUUUAGAGGUUUUUUCAAGUUUACGUGUGUGAAACUUAAUUUAAUCUAAAAACCGUGUACAUUUUCGGAAAGAACGUAAUAAAAUACAUAUAUUGGGUGAUUGUAACUUUUCCCUACGUUGCCAAAUUUUCGAGAAAAAUCGUGCUGAAGCGCCAAAAGUGCCAAAAAUUGGAUUAAUCGUCACGUCGAAGGUUUAAGGAAGUGAAUUUUGAAUUUUCUUUCACUACAAAUAACGUAUCGAAAAUGGAAAAUUGCAAUUCGUCUCACAGAACAUGUAAUGGCUCAGAUGAACGUGAUUAAACGGACCCUCAAGGUGCUUUUACCUUAUCCUUCACUCCAGUUCACCUCUCUAUUCCUGUAACCUCGAGAUAAUCCUUGGUUCUCAAGAUGCUUGCUAAAGGCCAAAUAUACAAAGAAGCGCCAAAAAUGCCAAAAAUUGGAUUAAUCGUCUUGUCGAAGGUUCCAGGAAGUGAUUAAUGACUUUCAUGUGGAUCAUGGGACACUUUUCCCACGAAGUUUCUGUUGUUUGGUAUAUUUGGCCUUUAGCAAGCAUCUUGAGAACCAAGGAUUAUCUCGAGGUUACAGGAAUAGAGAGGUGAACUGGAGUGAAGGAUAAGGUAAAAGCACCUUGAGGGUCCGUUUAAUCACGUUCAUCUGAGCCAUUACAUGUUCUGUGAGACGAAUUGCAAUUUUCCAUUUUCGAUACGUUAUUUGUAGUGAAAGAAAAUUCAAAAUUCACUUCCUUAAACCUUCGACGUGACGAUUAAUCCAAUUUUUGGCACUUUUGGCGCUUCAGCACGAUUUUUCUCGAAAAUUUGGCAACGUAGGGAAAAGUUACAAUCACCCAAUAUAUGUAUUUUAUUACGUUCUUUCCGAAAAUGUACACGGUUUUUAGAUUAAAUUAAGUUUCACACACGUAAACUUGAAAAAACCUCUAAAAAUUGGUGAAAAUUGGCAACAAUGGACCGUGAGGCCUUUCAAAAUUCACAGGAAGCCAUUUUUAUGGCCAGAUAUGAAAAGUACGCAGAAAAAUACAUAUAGUACACACCCAUAGAGGGUAACUAAGGUCGAAAAACAUUCAAAAGAGCUACCUUCAAGUAAAAAACGCCGCUGAAAUCGACAUCCCAGUCAAUUUUCACAUCUUGGGAAUCCAGGUACAACUAUAAUUUUUUAAUAUGUUGUAUAUGUAGGUAAGAACUGUUACGUACGUCAAUAUGAAAGUUGUACCCCGCUUUCUUGAACCUAAAGCGUGGCAAUUUAUCGAAUUUUGGCCGUUUUAGGCUCUUUGGAGCGAUUUUUCUCGAAAAUUUGGCAAGGUAGAAAAAAAUUUUACUGAGCAUUAUUGAUUCGUUUUUUUGCGUUCUUUUCAAAAACGUACACGGUUCUUAGUUUGAAUUGAUUUCUACGUGUGUAUAAUUGAAAGAAACCCUAAAAAUGGGCCAAAAAUGGCAACAAUGGGCCAUAAGGCCCCUUAAAAUUUAUCGGAGGCCUUUAAAAGGCCAGAAACGGUAAGUGCGCAAAAAAUGCAUAGGAAUCAUCUGCUAGAAGGGUGAUAACAGUCGAAAAAGUAAAAAAAAAUAACUAUUUUUCGGUGCCAAGAUUCUGGGUUUGAGGCGAUGUUGCACCCUUGCAUGGGCUCUGUUCGGUAGAAUAGUUGGCAUAAAGUCUACCUAGGACUAGUACUUUGAAAAUAUGAAACAUUCAGCAAAAUCCAGGUGGGGCCGGAAAAGGCCCAAAACGAUACUCCUCCUUUUUUUUUUAUCAAAAUGCACUGUUAAACCUAUCAAUGUAUUUUUUGGCAUUUUUCCCUGUUAGAUUAGUUAAAUUAUGAAUGCUGUUUAGUAUUCUGUUUUAAGUGUUGUGUUGAAUCCUUGCUUUUUUUUGAUAACUGCCAGUAAAAAUGUGGCAACCCUGUUACCCCAUGCCCCCUUGUAAACCCUCCAUUUUCUCUCAAGGGAAGGUGUCCAUUAUAUUCACCAUUCUUGGGCUGUAAUGUAUUACCUACUCUUUUCUUUUCAAUUUGUAUUUAUUGUAUCUUUCUUGCCUCAUCACCCUCGUCAUAAACUUAACUUGACCAAAAAUGUCAAUAAUGAUAGAAGUGGCUGUAGUUAUUUCAAUUAACUAUCCGCUUCUAAUGGAAAGGAACUUGGUAAGCAGGCAGGAAAUUGUACUUUGGUAUUUAAGGACACUUCAUUGAAAAUUCCAACUCCCUUUGCCAGGGCGCUGCACUAUGGGUCCGUAGCGGCGCAAAAUCCAAUUUUUCGACAUUUUUUUCCCGUCAUCAGAGCCAUCUUAAUCGAUGCCCAGACACCUACUGAUAACAAAAUUACAUGGGAAUAUCCAAAAUAUUCACUAUACCUGCGGUUUCCACUGGACGCGCCUCUGCCGCGUAUUUCCAAGCAAGUUCUGCUGCUGCGCCGCGCCGUCUACCGCACGGCUAAUCGCGCCGCGACGCCGACCGCGGCCAGCCUCGGCGACGUUCCACGAGAGGGCGCUCGCGUCACUAAGAUAGCUUAUGUUUGUUAAGGUCUUUUUAGUUCUAUUUAUGUAAAGGAAGUGAUGAUUUUGUCUGGUCCCCAGAGAUGAAUAAAUUCGUAAAUAAAACAAAGAAGGUCUCAAGGUUCAA
This is an RNA transcript of Bemisia tabaci, 7502 nucleotides long. It is a transcript of the gene named transmembrane protein 179, with no coding region annotated. The record is from RefSeq and is a predicted model, not a curated record. Lineage: Eukaryota; Metazoa; Arthropoda; Insecta; Hemiptera; Aleyrodidae.